UACGUAGGGUGCAAGCGUUGUCCGGAAUUAUUGGGCGUAAAGAGCUCGUAGGCGGCUUGUCACGUCGGCUGUGAAAUCCCGAGGCUCAACCUCGGGUCUGCAGUCGAUACGGGCAAACUAGAGUAUUGCAGGGGAGACUGGAAUUCCUGGUGUAGCGGUGAAAUGCGCAGAUAUCAGGAGGAACACCGGUGGCGAAGGCGGGUCUCUGGGCAAUAACUGACGCUGAGGAGCGAAAGCGUGGGGAGCGAACAGG
This 253-nucleotide ribosomal RNA is filed under the name uncultured bacterium. Its description in RNAcentral is "partial 16S ribosomal RNA". It matches the Rfam family "Bacterial small subunit ribosomal RNA", at positions 524 to 776 of the family's 1533-position model. The record is from RNAcentral.